CCUGAACGCUGGCGGCGUGGCUAAGACAUGCAAGUCGUACGGUGUAGCAAUACACAGUGGCGAACGGGUGAGUAAUGAAUCGCUAAUGUACCCCGGACUCUGGGAUAGCCAGCCGAAAGGCUGGGUAAUACCAGAUGAUAUAUCCCUUCCGCAUGGUUGGGAUCUCAAAGGUCCGCCGGUCUGGGAGCAGGCGAUUUCGUAUCAGCUUGUUGGUGAGGUAACGGCNCACCAAGGCGACGACGCGUAGCCGGACUGAGAGGUUGGCCGGCCACAUUGGGACUGAGACACUGCCCAGACUCCUACGGGGGGCUGCAGUAACGAAUCUUCCGCAAUGCACGAAAGUGUGACGGAGCGACGCCGCGUGUAGGACGAAGCCCUUCGGGUGGUAAA
This 390-nucleotide ribosomal RNA is filed under the name uncultured bacterium. Its description in RNAcentral is "bacterial SSU rRNA". It matches the Rfam family "Bacterial small subunit ribosomal RNA", at positions 30 to 429 of the family's 1533-position model. The record is from RNAcentral.